Long non-coding RNA from Fukomys damarensis (Damara mole-rat), 4494 nucleotides. RefSeq lists it as uncharacterized. NCBI's taxonomy places the organism in Eukaryota, Metazoa, Chordata, Mammalia, Rodentia, Bathyergidae. The transcript has 10 exons. The record is from RefSeq and is a predicted model, not a curated record.
UCCAGAAGCCUGCAACAUCUGCAGAAAGGGAGGAGCAGAUGAACACUACAAGGGACACUGCAACUGGUAUAGUCACCGUCACUUCCUCCUGCUAGGCCAGGAACGCACCACCAUCUCACAGCAACUGAGGAGGAGACAGCAGCAACUGCCUGACUGAGUCUGGGUCUUUACAUCAGUAUCCCUAGAUGUUAUAUAUACAUAUCAGAAGAUUCUGAAAGGUGAAGAGAAGAAGCCAGGCUGGUCAGGGACUUCAGAACCCAAGGAAUAACUCAAAGUGAUCCAGGAUAAAAGCCAUGAAGCUACAGGUGGAUGAGAGACCAGUUGCAGGAGUGCAAAGACCAACUACGGCCAGAGAGAGUAAUGGAUUAUCCAGAAGGAUAAAGUGCUAUUUCCUUGAUGACACUGACACUUUCAAGAAUGUGAGUGUCUUUGCAGGAGGAACAGGCUUCUUGAGCAAAAACCCAGGAGAUGAUAAGGAGAAGCAUCCAGGCAUUCUUUGAAGACGGAAGUCCCCCAGGAGCUGUCAGAGUGGGAGAUGACCUGGGGGAGGGGCUGCCAGCUUUCCCACCCUCCUCUUCCAGACACAUGUGUGUUGAUGACUCGGAACCAGUAAGGACCUGUGCAUGCUGAGUGCCACACGUGAGGACUGCAGGGCUGAGUGGGCCAAAGGUUUUCAGCACUGUCUCUUGGACUGCUAAUCAUUUAAGAUGCUCCCUGUCCCUGCCAUCAUCAGCACCACUUGCUCAGGAACUGCUUAUUGCUCACUACUAUCUCUGACCAGGGCAAAGCUCGGGGCAGUACUAUCAUCUCCCUUUUGCUGUAAGGGAACGGAGUCAAAGAGAAGCAAAGGAACUUGAGGUCUAGGAAGUGAAACUAAGGAGUCAGGCCCAGAGGGCUCUUGGCUCUAACCCAGUGAUGGGGAACAUUUUAGGGACCGAGUGCCCAAAUGACAAGAAAUUAUACUGCAAACACUGCCCUGCACUGCAUGAGGAGUUGGCAUACCUCACCUGUUGACAGCUGAGAGAACACACACAGAGGGUAAGGCUUGAACUCCCAGCCCUCCAACACUUAGCAAAGCAGGAAGGAACUCCAGCCCGCGGCAGAUGCAGGGAAGUCCAGCCACCCAAGGGGAGAUGAUAUUUGUAACCUUGUCAAGAGGGACAGGACUCUAGCCACCCCUGAGUGUCAUUCCAAGGGCUACAGGAAGGAGGCUACAGCGUCCAAGAAGAGAAGCCCUGGACUAAGGGCUGGGGGAGCUGGACUCUGCUUCCAGAUGCAUGACCUGAGGAUGACCAUUUCCCCUCUCUGAGCAUCAGUCGGCUCCUUUGUAAAUUAAGGUGAUUGGUUCCUAUGAACUCUAAAGCUCUCUUUUGUUCUGAUGCUCUUUGUUCUGUCCAGAAAAUUGUGGUUCACUCUGGGAAGAGACCUCAUAAAGGGUUGUCUGCAGCUGACACCUCAUAGAGGUUGGAGAAUACCCACCCCACACCCCUGUGCCAACUGGCCUUAGGAGGGAACUGGACGUGCAGCAAAUAUCACUGGCAUUGGCCGAUGCUGAGCGGGUGAUGCCUGUGCUUCUAAUGAGCUGCCUUGAAGUGCCUAAGAGGACAAAAGCACCUGCCACUGGGCUCUGUGGGAGAUUAGGACUGGCCACAGAUGGGCAGUGCCUGAAGGGGUGUGGAUGGGGUUCUUCAUACAACUGUGGAUCUACGAGAAGACAAGAAGUUUUGCCUGGGAGCUGAUCUAGGAUGCCAAAGCAACAAAGGAGGAAGGUGGCCACAAAGUUCUACAGCUACACUUCUAGAUUUAACUGGUCAGAUCAGUAAUCUUAUUCCAUAAAGGGUCGCAUGACCCCUUUCAUAUUUGGGAGCCAAAUGACUGCCAUCAUAAUGACUCAACCCUACAGUUGUGACUUAAAAAUAGUCAUGAUGGUGUGUACACAGUAGGUGAAGCUGUGUGCAGAAAAAAAAUGAGCAAUAUUAUGCAUUUGACCCUUAUCCUGUGGUCUUCCGGCUUUUGGGUUUGGCCAUCAGGUGCUCAAACUGAUGAUGAUGUAUCCUCAGCAUCUCAAGGAUGGGGUACCCACAGCUUAUUAAAUGUUCCUGUUACAUAUAAGCAAUGGAUCAUGUUAGUAGAGAGACUGGCUCGAGAAACAAUGGCAUUAGUCUCCAGCCAGUGUCACUUUUGCCCACUCAUUGUCCUGGAGUCUGACAGCUCCUUGAUUCCAAAGACAGCCUGAUAACAAGAAGACAUGGGGAUGAUGGAGGGUCAGACUCCUGAACCCUUCCUGUCCUCAUAACUUCUCUGCCUUCUGGGGAAAAACAAUUUCCUAAGGUGUGGGAAGACAGUAACUAUUUCAAGAAAACACCAUCUGCUAAAACAAACACUUGCUUUUUUGACUCCACCCAUACUUAAACAAAUCCUAUGGCUCAUGUAAAAGUAGGUUUCUUACAAUGCCUGACCAUUUCUGUACCUGUCACUGUUCCGAGACAUGCUGUACUGUGUGGUUUUAGAGGCUCUUCAUUGAGUGUCAGCAACAGGUAGACAACUGUCCACACUCGGAUGUCCACUGCGACUUUUUGAUUUCUGCUUCCCAUGAGCCCAGGUCUGUUCUUCCCGCAGCUUUUAGAUAUCAUGAAAAUGCUGUCUUCAAUUAUGAGAGUGCUUGUGCCUGAGCCCCAGGAAUCCUGGCUCUCCUUCCCCCUAGUUCUCUGCAUGUUUGGCUUGUUCUUGUCCUCACAUCUCAGUUCAACUGCAACCAUCUCACAGAAGUCACCAUAUCUAAAACUUAGCCCAAAUAUAAUCGCACCACUCUACCUGUUUAAUCCAAAGGCACACCUUAGUCUGAAAUAACUUUAGAGAGAUGUCUAUUUACUAUUGCUUCUACUAUAGGAAUCUAAUCUCCAUUAGGGCACCAAUUUUAUCAAUUUGGUCUGCUGUUGCUUCCCCAGUUCCUAGGAGAAUACCUGACACAGAAUCUGUAUCCAGUAAAUAUUUGUUCAUUGGUUAAGCAACCUCCCUUCACAACAGAUGGAGAAGAAUUCCAGAAAUCCUUUCCUUCUCCUUCUCCUUCUCCCUUCCCGGGACACUUACCUGGCACUUCCAUCUCAUAGGAGAGAUGAAGGAUCGAUUGUUAAAUAUGAGCACAAUGAGAUACAUCUGAUCUAUCAAACUUCUUCAUCUUGCAUAAUUGAAACUUUAUAUCCACUGCACUGCCCCUUAGCCUCUUUCCUCUAGCUCCUGGAAGCCUCCAGUCUUCUUUGUGCUUCUGUGAAUGUGGCUAUUUUAGGUAAGUCAUGUAAGUAGAGUCAUACAAUGUAUAUCCCGUGACUGGCUUAUUUCACUUGACGUGUCCUCAGAGUCCAUCUAUGGGUCUCAUACGCUGAGACUGAAGAAGGAUUCUUUUUUGAAGGGUGCUGGAGAUCCCACAGUGACUUGCCUCCUAGCCAACAGUGGAAUGAGGAAGUAACAGUGCAUGUGAGGCUCAGGGGCCCGGAGCAGCAGUGGUUCCUGAGACUCUGAGUUUCAGUCUCCUUGCUCUGAGAUAGGAUCAACAACAGCCACCUCCCAGAGUUACUGUCAAACCUAAUGAGAAGACACGGAUGAAGCUAAUGCCUCAGAAGAAUCCCAGAAACCCGGAGAGGGGUGAAACUUUGGUGUGCUGCCUAGCUGGGCAUAUUGACAAUGCCACAUCCCAGGGGCACAUCAAAGUGGAAGGAAGGGAGCUCCAUGAAACAGAAAUUUUACUUUAUCACUUCUCUGUGCCCAGGGCCUAGAACAUGACUGAUAUAUGCAGGCUCUCGAGACUUGAGGUGAAUCAUUCAGUGAAAUCUACCUGUUCUUACUGGAUAUUAGUCAAACAUGGCAGGCACAGGAAUCAAGUGAAUUAGUCUGAAUCUGCACCACUAAUAAUCUUUGUGCUUAGUUAUAACUAAAAAUAAGUAAAUAAGUACACAAAGAAGGAAAAAUCAAAAUGUGAGGACUGUAAUGACGUAUCUUGAACCAGUUUGGGAGUCAACUAUAGGAUUUAGCACCUUGAACCCUUGUUCUUCUGUUAUUUUAUUUUUAUGUUAAGUUAUUUUUAUCUAACUGUUGUUUUACCCCUUUCUUGUCUUUUUCAUGUUUAGAUUUGAUAGAUUUCCCAGCAACAAGUCUUCCAUAUUAUUUUUCUACCAUGCUUCACUUCACCCCAACAGACUCUGGGAUUAACUUGGGCAAUCCAUUCUGUUCACAUGAGGGAGCUCUUCAUUUGGGCUGGUGUGUGUGGAAACACAGUAAGUUGCUUACUCAGAAACAGCCAUUCUCUGUAGACUGUGGUGAGGAUGCAACUGCUUGGGUUUCAGAUUUGAGUCCCUUCAUGUCCUUGCCCUGGUGCCUAGGACUAAUGGUAUCAAGGCCCCUCCAAACCAGGUCGGUUCUGAGAGCUACCAAUUUCCUGCUAAGUCAGUUCCCAAGCAAAGCAGUGCAUGACAAUCAUUUGAUACUUACCUACUCAGA